This 353-nucleotide ribosomal RNA is filed under the name uncultured Racocetra. RNAcentral's name for it is "SSU rRNA". It matches the Rfam family "Eukaryotic small subunit ribosomal RNA", at positions 569 to 929 of the family's 1831-position model. The record is from RNAcentral. Lineage: Eukaryota; Fungi; Glomeromycota; Glomeromycetes; Diversisporales; Gigasporaceae.
AGCAGCCGCGGUAAUUCCAGCUCCAAUAGCGUAUAUUAAAGUUGUUGCAGUUAAAAAGCUCGUAGUUGAAUUUCGGGGUUCCACCGUUGGUCGGGCUAUUGUCUGUACUGGCGUGUGGAAUUUCUACCUUCUGGGGAACUAUCAUGUUAUUAAUUUAGCGUGGUAGGAAACCAGGACCUUUACCUUGAAAAAAUUAGAGUGUUCAAAGCAGGCUUAUGUCUGAAUACAUUAGCAUGGAAUAAUAAAAUAGGACGGUGGUCCUGUUUUGUUGGUUUCUGAAUCACCGUAAUGAUUAAUAGGGAUAGUUGGGGGCAUUAGUAUUCAAUUGUCAGAGGUGAAAUUCUUGGAUUUAU